CCUUUCCCAUUUGGUCUCUCUUCUCAGCAACUUUACCUCCUUACCUCUCUUUGACCUCCUUUCCUCUCCUUCACAGUUUGGCCCUUGACUUCGGGGCCUUCUUACCUUUCUUUACCUGAAAUGAUCUGCCCCUUACCCGGGUCUCCUUCACACCCUUCUCUCUGGUCCUAACCCUUCUGCGGCCAAGCCCAGCAUAGCUCCCCGGCUCGGCCUGGUCAGCUUGAGCUGUAUUUUGUUCGAGUGCCCCUGGCCUAGGAAAGGAGUGUGUAGUGUAAAGUGGGGCCAAGUGUCCCCCCGGGCUGGGGCCACUGCCUCGCCCCCUCCGCCCCUCCCGAGUCCCGGUUGCGGCGCUUCCUGGGCGGAUGGUUUGGACUUGCUGCAGCAGCUGCGGUUCUGCUGUGUCAUGCAAGAAGGAGGCGGCGGCGGCCGGAGCUGGAGUGGGAGGAGGGGAGGAACCUGAUCCUCCGGUAGCGAAGGGCUGGAGGCAAACACCGAGCUCCCCCAGAGCCGCCCGGGAGCAGGGAGGGCUCCGCUACCCCGAGGGGCCCUCCCCUAGGGGCCGAGGAACCUCCUUGUCCUUUCAUCCUGGCCCAUCAUUACCUCUCAGAAGGUGGCUCCUCCCUCUAUUGACAGACCUUACUCUGUCCCACUCCUGUGCCACCUCUAUGCAGAAUUCAAUGUGCAGACUCUCUGAGCCGAGCUUUGGGGUCACCUAA
This is a long non-coding RNA of Urocitellus parryii (Arctic ground squirrel), 716 nucleotides long. The record is from Ensembl. Lineage: Eukaryota; Metazoa; Chordata; Mammalia; Rodentia; Sciuridae.